This 129-nucleotide ribosomal RNA is filed under the name Triticum aestivum (bread wheat). RNAcentral's name for it is "partial small subunit ribosomal RNA". Lineage: Eukaryota; Viridiplantae; Streptophyta; Magnoliopsida; Poales; Poaceae. The record is from RNAcentral.
AUGGUCUUAUUGGUUUUGGGGUAUAGGGGAAGAAGACCUUCAACAUGCAUGUCUGAGAGGUAUACAUGUAUACGUGGGAUGUGUGUGUGUGCGCACGCGCAUGAUCGAGAUAAAAGAAACAAGACAUAA